RNAcentral lists this ribosomal RNA (337 nucleotides) under uncultured archaeon. RNAcentral describes it as "partial 16S ribosomal RNA". It matches the Rfam family "Archaeal small subunit ribosomal RNA", at positions 133 to 475 of the family's 1478-position model. The record is from RNAcentral.
CGGGAAACUGGGGAUAAUACCCUAUAGACUAUGGUUGCUGGAAUGCUUCGUAGCUGAAAGGUCCGCCGCCGAAGGAUGGGUCUGCGGCCGAUUAGGUCGUUGUUGGGGUAACGGCCCAACAAGCCUGUAAUCGGUACGGGUUGUGGGAGCAAGAGCCCGGAGAUGGAUUCUGAGACAAGAAUCCAGGCCCUACGGGGCGCAGCAGGCGCGAAAACUUUACAAUGCGGGAAACCGUGAUAAGGGAACCCCGAGUGCCCGUAGAAUCGGGCUGUCCAUCAGUGUAAAAAGCUGGUGAAGAAAGGGCCGGGCAAGACCGGUGCCAGCCGCCGCGGUAACA